This is a small nucleolar RNA of Castor canadensis (American beaver), 132 nucleotides long. The record is from Ensembl. NCBI's taxonomy places the organism in Eukaryota, Metazoa, Chordata, Mammalia, Rodentia, Castoridae.
GGCCUCCUCGUGCUUACCACAGGCUGUGUUCUUACAUUGACUGUAUAGAAAGAGGAGGCAAAGUGCACCUACACUGUAUACCCUUCAGCCCAGGCACUGUGCCUGGUCUGUAUUGUGAAUGGGGAGACAUGG